GUUGCUGGUGCUUGUAGCAUGGCGAUUGGUGAGUUGGUCUCAGUUUACUCACAAUAUGACAUUGAAUUGACUGAAGUGAAGAGAGAAAAAAUGGCAAAAGAUUUUGCCGAUCAUUACUUCGAGAAUAUGAAAAAAAGUUUGCCUAAUCCCUGGCAAGCAGCUGGUGCAUCUGCGCUUGCUUUUGCUGUUGGGGCUGUCAUGCCGUUGCUUGCUGCUGCGUUCAUAAAGGUCUAUGUGGUGAGGUUAGUUGUGGUGCUGGCUGUUGCGAGCUUGGCCCUGUUACGGUUUGGUGCGUUGGGAGCCCUGUCGAGGGGUGCACCCAUGUUGAAGGCAUCGUUAAGGGUGCUGGUAGGAGGAUGGCUAGCCAUGGGAAUAACUUUUGGCCUCACCAAGUUGAUUGGCCGCACAGGACUCUAAUCCAUCUUCUAUCACUACAUGGGUUUUGGUUUUUAACAGUGUUUUUUUUUUACCGUUUAGCGGUGUUUAUUAACGUCACUAUAAUGUUACGACGUUUGUGAAAAAAGUACCAUGCAGAGUGCUGCCCACACAUGCAUCGCAGUAAAUAACGACGUUUUCGAAAAAACGCCUCGAUAUUAAGGGUGUUUAUAUCUGAAACACUAUCAUUUUAACGACAUUUAUAUCUUUGAGACGUCGCUACUUUAGAGGCGUUUGAAUAUGAAAACGGCUCAAUAUUUACGGUGUUUGUAUCUUUUAGCCACCGUUAUUUUAGUGACGUUUUUAUAAGAAAAACUCCGUUGCAUUGACGGCGUUUGUAACAGAAAAUGUCGCUACUUUAGAUGCAUUUGAAUAUGAAAACGCCUCAAUACUUGUGGCAUUUGUAUAUUUUAGGUGCCGCUAAUUCAAUGACAUUGUUAUGAGAAAAACGAUGUUGGUGAAGGCGUUUCUAUAAAAAAUGCCAACCACCUAGCAGCGUUUGCUUGAAAGAGCGUCAUUACUUAUAGUGACAUUUUAUGAUACAAAUGUCACUAAAUUAUUCAUUUAACGGCAUUGCUCAACGCAAACACCGCCAUUAUAUAAAAAUAUUUUUUUUAAUUUCUUAUAAUAAAUUUUAUUUUUAGUAAAGAGUUUAAAUUCAGAAACUGAAAUUAAUAUUAACUUCAUUCACAUUUAAAUAUACAUAUAAUUAAUACAAAGUUUAAUAAUUAGUAUAAUAACAUUCAAAUAUUGCAAAUACAUUAACCAAAUAAAAAAUUAAAAUGUCUGAAAUGGAUGACUACAUACGUUUUGCUGGCUGCUAAUUGAUGAAGAAAAAUUUUCACCUUGAUCACUAGGGUGCUCAAUAACCUACUGAAUAAUACCAUAUAAUUUUUAACAUUUCAUUGUAUGCUUAUUUUUUAUUUAAAAAUUUUAAUAUUUGCUAAAUAUAAUACCUGAGUUGAUGGAGCACCAAGAUCAUUUCUUAAAAAUUAUUGUUGCACAAAAUUUAUAAGAUGAUCGAAUCGAUUAUGCAACUAUUAAAAUUUUGCACAUUCUAGCUCCAUUCUAGCAUGUUCUUCUUCAAUUUUGGCAUGCUCUUGUUCUCUUUCUGCUUUCAUUUGCUGAAAAUGUUAUUGCAUAGUUUGCAACUCCCCUCUCAAUAUUGAAAUAUUUCACGAAGACUGACUUGCUAAGAGUGUAAAUUACGAAGAGUUAUAUCCAUAGUAGGCAAAUGGUGUUGGACCCAAUCCAAGACCUCGGACCCGUCCAUGCCUUUCUUUUUUAGCAAAUUCUAUGAAUAUUCAAUUUUCAUUUCUUGCAUGUUGAGAGAACCUUCAGAUGCUACUUUAAUUUUAGCAGUCAUUUUCUCUUUCGCUUUCUCCUGUGAAUUUGUCACAUACAACUAUCAAGUUUAAUGAUUAAUUAAUUAUAUGUUAAAAAGAGUUAAUAUUUACUUUAUGUUAAAAUAGAUGAUAAAAAUUAUCAUAAUUUCUUAUGUUUCAACAUUCAUGUAAGAUCCAUUUUUUUUUUAGUUACGCAAAAAAGUUUCACACGUCUAAUUGUAUCGUCCAUCUCAUUCUCCUAUACAAAACUAUAUGUUAUUUGAUAUGAUACAUAUCAACCGUAACUUAUUUAUGCAUAUCAAUCCUGUUAAUCAAGUAUUAAAAUUUUGAAUCAUUUUAAUCUCCUUUAUUUAUAUUUUGACCCUGUAAAAACACAAUAGUCUUAAACAUACACAAAGAAUAAAAGCAUUUUGGGCUUCACACAUAUCGAUCAUGGAAACAAAAUUUAAUUAUUUUCUCUUGGUUUAAUAUCAAGGAUUGAAGCCAUUCAAUAUGUUGAAAGGCAUCCAAAAUUUAUUUGUAUAUUUACCUUUUAUAUGCAAAAAUAUUUUCAAAUAGACAUAACUGAUAACUUUUUCUCCUAUAUCAAUUAUAGAAAUCAAGUUCAAUCAAUCGAACAAGCUUAAUAUCAAGUAUUGAAGCUAUCGAAAUUGUUAAAAUACAACAAUAACAAUGACUAGAUAAUAAAGGCAUAAAUAUACUUAAAUAGUAACUUUUCAUACAUAUCAUAUGUGUAACUAAGUUCAAAACUUUCGAUAAGUUUAAUAUCAUGUAUUAAAACAAUCAAAUCUAUUAAAACAAAACAAUAAAUGUUAAUUUCCAUAUUUACCUUUUUACAGCAGAAAAAGUUCAUUCAUUGAAAUAAGUUAAUUAUUAUAAACUUACGAUUUCUUUUUGCUUUCUUGCAAAACUUUUUGAUCCACUUAUGUGGCUAUAUUUUUGUUACUUUUUGCUACCAAUCCCAAUUUGUUCUCUUUCCUAUCAUAAAAAAUAAUUGUGUAUAUGAUAGAAAUACAAAUAUUACUAACUGAAACCAUCAAACACUUUCAUCAUUUCAUUCUAUUAUACAAAGUUAUAAACUAGUACCUCUCAUUUUUUUAAGAACCAAAAUCUAAUCAGUUGUUCAUAUUACCACCUAAUCACAUUACGGGAUAGAUUUUGCAUCAUUGCCUCUAUAAUAAUAUUUCGAUCGAAAUACUUAUUUUUCAAAUUAUGCUUAUAAUCUUUCCAUUUCUUUCCCAAUGGCUUAAGCACAAAUAAAGUUGAUAUUUCAAGUACAAAUCUUGACUGUAAUAAUACAAUAAGAAAAGUUUGAAUAAGUAAACAAAAUGUAAAAUAAAAAAUUUGAAUUUAUCUAAUUAAUUAUACUAAUACCUCAAUAAAGUUUAACGCAUCAGCUUAACUUAUUUUGGAACAUUAUGCCAUGUUUCAUAAUGAAUAGGCAUUUCAUUCCAUUAUGGGCUAGCAUGCAUAGAAAUUCAGCCAAUAGUUAAACUUUUUCACCAAUUGGUUGCCUAUCAAAGUUUACAGACAUUACAAUACGCUCGUUAUGAGGUUGUGCAAAUAAUUUCUUCAAAGUUGUCUGGCCUUUGAUCCUCCGUUGACCAUUGUUAUUAACUGCAACAAAUAUAAAAUAUAUUUUUAAAAUCGUAAUACUUUUAUCAGUAUACUCGAAUUCUAAAAUUGGAGUAUAUCAUACCUGCAUUCAAAUUUAAAGCAUAAUCAAUUGAUGGGGUACUAUUUAAAUCUGGACCUCUCAUAUUGCCAGACUAAAAUCAGUUGAAGGGUUAGAGUGACAGAGUUAGAUCCGACAGUAUGUUCAUUUGCCUUUAAAGGAUUUAGUCCAUAACCAAUAUCUAUAGGUGCCACAGAUGGUUCUGAACUAAUAUCUCUGAUAUAUUUUUCUUUCAACCUACUUCUCUGUAUUAUAGCUUACUUACAUUAUAAAAAUGAAUAUAAAAAAAAUGUUAGUUUAGAAGAUAUAUAGACAUUUUCAAUUUAAGAAAUCAAAACCUAUGAUAUAUAAAGAACAUAUCAAUUUAAUAAAAUCACAAUAUAAUGUAUGAUUUAGAAGACAAUAAUUAUACAAUAGCGAAUGUGACAUUAUUUACAUACUAUUAUUUACUACAUUAUGUCUUAAACACUCGAAUUACAAAUUAUAGAUGUAUGGAAUCAUGGUUCGUAAAUGUCUUCAGUAACAUCUUCACGGACCCACUGAGCAUAGAUACUGAAGAUAUUUUCAUUCAAGUUUUGUUCAGCAAAAGGAUAACAUUCAAUUCCAUGUUCAAUAUUAUCUUUGGUAUUUAAUCCCAUAUCAAAUAAGUCUCUAGGUGUGUUUCGAAAAACAACAAACUAAGCUAAUUUUUUCAGAUCUUCAGAGUAAAAUACUUGUUUGACUUGAGAUGAAAAUACAUAAGGUUCAUCGAUGAGUUGUUGUCCAGUGUGAAUUAAUCAAGAAAAAUUCAUAAGGGUAAAUUCGUACUGAUGUUUCUUAAGAUCUCUCGUACUAUUCACAUCAGCCCAAUCACACCAAAAUAAGAUAACUUUUCACUUGCCAUAAGAAUUCAACUCAAUGAUGUCAUUAAUCAUGCCAUAAUAGUCAACAUUUUCCUCUAAAGGGUUUGUGUCUCUAGCACUAGUUAACUAGUAGUUGAUAAAGUUACAACAACUCUUGAAUUUUGUGUACUUCUAAAUCUCUCACGAAAUUUUAUGUGAAAUUUAAAUCCAUUGAUGAUGAAACUUUUGUAUCGUUUCACAAUCUAGUUUGGAUCGUGUGAAAGACACUUAAACUCUUCACUAAUAAGCCUUCCACUCCAAACCUAUAAAAAUGUAAUAAAUAUAUAUAUUUUAUUAAUAUAAUUUUUACCGUAAGCAUUCUAUGUAGAUAAAACAUAAUGAAAAGUAUGGCAUUACUUACAAUUGCUCCUAACCAUUCAUGAAAGUUUUCAGCAAACAACUUAUCAACUUUUCGAGGGUUUGACUGUCGAUAAUGUGCAUGAGCUCUCAAAUUAUUUUUAUAUUCACUAUAAAACAUCAUGAUAAAAUAUUAACAAUAAAAAAACAUAAUAAAUUAUACCUAAUGUAAUGAAUAAUUUUCUUGCUAAACAACUUACGUGCGAAAUGAUUAAAUUAAGUCAUGAUGAAAAAGAACAUAUCGAUGUGCUUGUGCCCAAGAUUUAUCAUCUAACUCCACCAAUUCAGCUUUGCCUAUGGGUUGUCCAAAACUUUGAAAAAGAUAACUGUAGGUCGAGUCUGUAUGCUGCAUACCAACAUUUCUCGAAGGUCUAUUAAAUCUCAUUUUAACAUCUUUCAAAUAACGAGCACAAAAUAUCAUACACUCUUCUGCUAAAUAUCCUUCAACAAUAGAACUUUUCGGAUAGCAUUUGUUACAACAAUAAGACUUUAACGUCCCUAAAAAGUUAUAGCAUAAAACAUUAGUCAUAUGUUAUUUUAAGUAGAUUGGCUUGAUAAUCAAUAAAAACGUAAUCAAUCUAUUAACAAAUAAUACCUUUCAAUAGGAUACAUCCAUUGAUAAUAAACUAGCCUACCGACCUUUGCUUCAUAUGAAAUGUGGAUAACCAAAUGCAUUAUAAUAGUGAAAAAGUUUGGAGGAAAGAUCUUCUGUAAAUGACAUAAAGUAAUCACGGCUCGAUCUUGAACUUUGUUAAGCUCUUUCACAUUCAUACAUUUCUGACAUAGAGAUUUAAAUAUGUUACUCAAUUCAAUUACCACAGAAGUCACUUGCUUUGACAUUGAUGAACAUAAAGUAAUUGAAAGUAAGUCUUGCAUCAAAAUGUGAUAAUCAUGUGACUUCGAUGAAAAAAAAUUUUUCUCCUUCAUAUUCACAUAUUUUGAUAUAUUUAAUGUAUAACCAUCUGAAACUUUGACAUUUUUUAAAACCUUGUAAAACACAUUUUUUUUAGCUUUUGAAAUCUCAAAACAAGCAGCAGGCAAUCGAUAUUUAUCAUUAGGAAGCAACAUCGGAUGAAGGUCACGGUGAAUCCCCAUAUCAACUAGGUCAAGCCGACUCUUUAAACCAUCGUUGGAUCUUCUAUUUACAUUGAGAAUUAUCUCGAUAAAAUUUUUGCAAACAUUUUUUUCUAUGUACAUCAAAUCAAUGUUAUGGCGUAACAAAUUAUAUUCCCAAUAAGCAACUCAAAAAAUAUAUUUUUUUUUCAUAAUUCAGACUCAUUGGGAUCAUCUACUUCAUCGUUCUCUUCAUCACUUUGAACAUCAAGAUCACCAAUUUCUAUAUGAUUAUUACCAAUUUGCAUAAUACGAAAUCAGAUACCUUCAAAGAUGUCCUCAUUCUUUUCCUUGAUUGAGUUAUUUUUCAUAUGUGAAAUUGAUAUCUUUUAACUUUGACAAGAUAUUAGACCCACUAAUAGGUAAAGACAAUCUCCUCAACUUUUCAAUUUCAUCAACAAGAUAUUUUUAAAAUCUAAAUCGAUAAUUAUCAUCUAACCAUCGAUGAUGUCUCAUAUAAUAAAGCUUCUUACCAUUACAUAACCAUGUCGAACAUGUCUGUGCAGUACAAUAUGGACAAACAUAAUGACCUUUUAUACUUCAACCAGAUAAAUUCACAUAAGUAAAAAAAUCAUUGAUAGUUCAUAAUAAAACAACACGCAUAUUAAAGUUCUCUGCUUUUGAUAUAUCAUAGGUCUCAACUCCUUCUCAUAAUUACUUUAACUAUUUAAUAAGAGGUUGUGAGUAGAUGUCUAUAUCAUUACCCGAACCUUUUUCUCCAAGAAUUAUCAUAGACAAUAUAAAUGACUAUUGCUUUAUAGCAAUCUAUAGUGAUAAAUUGUAAGAAAUCAAUACAACUGGCUAAGUACUAUAAGAAGUACUCAUAAUUUAGAAUGGGUUGAAUCCAUCAGAUGUCAAUCCAAGCAUAAUAUUUUGAGGAUUAGAUGUAAAGUCUGAAAAUCAAGAAUGAAAUGACUUUCAUGCCAAAGAAUCUGUAGGAUGCCUUAAUGAUCCAUCAUUCAUCCGCAUCUUAUGAUGUCACCUCAUUGAAUCUGUAAUUUUAAAAGACAUGUAGAGUUGUUGAGGUCUUUGUAUUAAUGAAAAAUAAUGUAAAACUUUAACAAGCUUCUUUUUAACACAUACCUUAUCACCAUCAUCAUUCAACCUUUCAUUGAGAUUUUUAUCGACCCAACGAGAAAUAUCACACAAAUGAUAAGAUUCUUAAUUUUUUUUAUCCUUCUAAUACAACAUGCAAUCAUUAUGAUAACUAUGAAUUUUUUCAUAUUCGAGACCUAAAUCCUUGAUCAUCUUCUUUGCUUUCUUACAAGAUUUAAGAAUUUUUACAAAAAGAAACAUUUCUUUCAUAAACUGUAAUAAUAAAGUUAGAGAGUUUUUCGUUCAUCUGCAUAAGCAUUUCAAGUGAAAAAAAUGAACACAGAAAGAUAACCUUGAAUGCUUCGAUCUCUCAAAAAGUUUUUCAUUCAUCUCUUCAAGCAACCUAUAAAACUUUGAUGCUUCUCUUAUUGGUUGUUGGUCACGUACACCAAUCUCAGGUUCACCAAAUUUAUGCAUUUCAACAUUGGACUGAUUAAAUCCUUCAUUUUGGGGAAAAAGAUUAUGAAAAUUUUAGUUAUGAAUGGUAAAAGCAUCUCAUAAUAUGCCUUUAAUGUCAUUUGCUAUAAAGGGAUCAUGUUAGUAAUUGAGAGCCUUUGAUGUUAAAGAAACUGUAGUGAAAGACUUUGACUGUAUAGACUCUCCAUGAAAAUAUCAAUUAACAUAUCUCGAUAGAAAUCCAAUACAAAUUAAAUGUUCAUAAACAACUUGACGCAUUUGCCACUCGAUAUUAGCACAUUUCACACAUGGGCAUAAUAUCAUAUUAUCUUCACUUGUAUUCUCAAAUGCAAAAUUAAAAAAAAUUUUACUCUAUUUUUGUACUCUUGACUUAAUCUUGACUUUUGCAUCCAACUCUUAUCCAUUUAUUAGUUGCUACACUAUUAGACCAAAUGUAUAUAAAUAAUUAAUAUGAAAAUGAACAUGUAUAAUUGCAUAGUUUACUAUGUUUUAAAUAAAAGAUAACAACAAGACCAGUACUUACACAAAACGAGAACUCCUUGUUGUGAAGUAAUUUAUCAGCUACUAGAUAUUACGAUUGUUAAAACUCUACUGCUAACGUAGACAGUUCCCAAAAGUAUUUGUAGUUGGGGUUGACAUAAGGUGAAAUAGGGUGGGUUUUGUAGAAAAUUUUUUUCACCAAAAAAAAAAUCAUGAAUUGCAAAAGUUAAAAGAAUAGUCGAAUGAAAUAAAAGCUAAAGUCAAUAAGUUAUGAAUAGUCGAAAUAGGGUUCUAAAAGACAAUGCUCGAAUACUAAAAGUGGAAGAAAAGAGAAAGUAAAUUGUACUUGAUUUGAAAAAAGAAAUAGUAUAAUAAUAAAGAUGAAGCUUGAAGUUGGUGAUUGGAUGCGCUAAGUUUGAAAAGAUUCUUAUUGGACAAGAUUAUGGAAGACGUUUACUAAAAAAAAUACCAACAAUAAUUUUUUCCUAAAUAUUUUUUGAAUAUAAUAUAGGUACCUUGAAUAUAUCACCACACAAAUUUUAACAUGGUUAUUGAAGGUGUAUAUCCAAAAAAGAUACCUUUUAUAAUUUCUAUCAUAGUUUGUAUAUAAUUAAUGAAUGUGGUUGCAGAAAAUAAUACCUUCAAUAAUUUUCUUAAAAAAAAAUUUUUGAAUUAGUAAAGGCGUCUUUUAUUAUGACACGCCUUCAAUAUAUCACGAUGGUUAUAGAAUGCGUUUAUUCAAAAAUGUGCCUUCAAUAUACUUUUAAACUUAGUAAUCUAUUACUGAAGGCCUUCGUUAAUAAUAGACGCCUUCAAAAUUUGUUCAUUAAAAAUUUUGGAAAUUAUUAAAGAAAUCUUCUACUAUAAAAUACCUUCUAUAUACCGUCAUAAAAAUUCUAACACUGUUAUUGAAGGCAUAUAUCCAAGAAAGAUACCUUUAAUAAUUUCUAUUAUAGUUUAUAGAUAAUUACUGAAGACGGUUACAUAUAAUAAUGCCUUCAAUAAUUUUCUUAAAAAAAAAUUUUUGAAUUAUUAAAGGCGUCUUUUAUUAUGACAUGCCUUCAAUAUACCACGAUAGUAAUGAAAGGUGUUUAUUAAAAAAGUACCUUCAAUAUACCUUUAAACUUAGUAAUCCAUUAUUGAAGGCGUUUGUUAAUAACAAAAGCCUUCAAAAUUUUUUCACUAAAUAUUUUGAGAAUUAUUAAAGACUUCUUCUACUGUAAAAUACCUUAUAUAUACCACCACACAAAAUUCUAACACUAUUAUUGAAGGCAUAUAUCCAAGUCCUAUCACAGUUUGUCGAUAAUUAUUUAAGGCAGUUACAGAUAAUAAGGUCUUUAAUAAUUUUCCUAAAAUUUUUUUUUUGGAUUAUUAAAUGCGUCUUUUAUUAUGACACACUUUCAAUAUAUCACGAUGGUUCUAGAAGGAGUUUAUUAAAAAAUGUGCCUUCAAUAUACCUUUAAACUUAGUAAUCCAUUACUAAAAGCUUUUGUUAAUAACAAACGCCUUCAAAAUUUUCUCACUAAAUAUUUUAAAAAUUAUUAAAGGCGUCUUCUACUGUAAAAUGCUUUCUAUAUACCGUCACAAAAAUUUUAACAUUAUUAUUAAAGGCGUAUAUCCAAGAAAGAUGCCUUUAAUAAUUUCUAUCAUAGUUUGUAGGUAAUUACUAAAUGUAGUUGUAGAUAAUAAUGCCUUCAAUAAUUUUUUUAAAAAUUUUUUUUCGAAUUAUUAAAGGCAUCUUUUAUUAUGACACGCCUUUAAUAUACUACGAUGGUAAUUAAAGGCAUUUAUUAAAAAAGAUGCAUUCAAUAUACUUUUAAACUUAGUAAUCCAUUACUGAAGGCGUUUAUUAAUAACAGACGCUUUCAAAAAAUUUUCACUAAAUAUUUUAAAAAUUAUUAAAAGCGUCUUCUACUGUAAAAUACCUUCUAUAUACCGUCACACAAAUUCUAACACUAUUUUUAAAGGCGUAUAUCCAAGAAAGAUGCAUUUAAUAAUUCCUAUAAUAGUUUGUAUAUAAUUACUGAACAUGGUUGCAGAUAACAACACCUUCAAUAAUUUCUCAAAAAAAAUUUUCUCGAAUUAUUAAAGACGUCUUUUAUUAUAAAACGCCUUCAAUAAUUUGUUAUAAACUUUAGAAAUCCAUUAUUAUUGAAAGCGAUUUUUUAUUGAAAAUGCUUUUUAUAAAUUUUAAGAAUUAGAAAAUGCAUUUUUUUUUUUUAUAAAAUAUGCUUUAAUAAGUUGGUUGGACAAUUUUAAAGGCUUAUAAUUAAAGAUGUCUUUUUUAUAAAAAACACUUUCAAUAAUCUCCAAUAAAAUUUUUAGAUGAUUAUUAAAGGCGUUGUUUCAUGGAAAUGCCUUUAAUAAUUAAUUUUAUAUUCAUUUCCCUGCCUUGAACAUAGGAAUUUGCAGAGGGUUGGUACAUAGAAUGAUUAAAAGUUUCGUUAUUCAACCAAACAAACCAAACCUUUAAACAUAUUUCUAGUAGACCAUUGCUUUCUUUCUCUCAUUCAUCGCCACUGACCUUUAACAAAUCAUCGUUGCGAAUCUCUAUUUUAACCGAUAAAUCUUUUUUUUUAGUUUACUGUAUUAUUUACAAUAUUCAAUAGAGAAUUUUUGUUUUUUCAGUUCCUUAAUAUUGACAUAUGCGUUUAUUUAUUUUCAUUAACAUCAUUGUCAGCAUAGUCAUCCAAGAUUCUAUUCAUAUUGCAAGUAUGCUAUUUUUAUGUAGUACGCAUUAAAUAUUAUGGUUUGCUGAACCUUGUUGACUGAUAUUGUAUUACCAAAUGGUAUUGUAUGAUAUUGAGGAUCUAAAUAAUAUUUCAUGUUGAAUGGUUUGUUGAACCUUAUUGUCUAAUAUUAUUUUACUGAAUAGGUUUGAAUGAAAUUGGGAGACUGAAUGGUGUUUCUGAAUAGUUUGUUGAAGGGUGUGUAUGAGUACAUUGCUGAAUGGUGUGUUAAAUGUUGUUUCUGUACAUAGUAUGGUAUUAAUUGUAUUAAAUUAAGUACAAUGAUCAAUUUAGAAGGUCAUAUUGUGUAAUUCGUAUAAUUAUGAUCAAUAUUACAGGUAAUAUGAACUUCGAACAAUAUUAUUCUCUUUUUAAUAAACAUGCAGAAGAAAGAAGUGUAGGCCAAAAAAGAAAGGGAAUGAGCCCAAAUAAACAAAUCAAAGUGAAUGACAUAAAAAUUCAUGUUGACUUUAAUCAAAGUGGGUAACCUGUGUCGAAAGAAAUUGUCAAGAUGGCUACUCAUAUUAGAGCCAUCGUCCGUCGGAGGAUUUCAAUUAUGUACACUGAUUGGUGAUGAGUUUCUGAUGAUCUAAAGGAUGAGAUAUGGCAAUUCGUUGUGGUAUGUUUAUUCAACUAUUUUGUAAAAUUUAUUAUAUGAUCAUUUAAUUGAAAUUCAAUGUGUUGAUUUUAUUUGUGUUAACUUAUUUAGGAACGGUUCGACGUCCCAAUUGAAUGUCAAAAGAUUGUGUUACAAUCUGCUGAGAAAGCUUUCAUAGACUUUAAAAGCAUAUUGAUAAUCCGAUAUAUUUUACUGUUGGCUGGUGAAGGUGAUGUUUUGGCGGUUCCACCUACGGUAUAUACAAAUGUCAUAAGUGUUGAAGAUUGGACAAAUUUUAUUCAAUAUCGACUUUCAGAAGAUUUCUCGAUAGUAAACCUAUUAUCAAAUUAAUUCAAGUUUAUAAGUCUUUAUGCAAUAUAGCCUUUCAUCUUCAUAUGUGAUUGACGUAAUUUUUUUAUUUUAUAAAAAAUCAAAGAACAACAUCGGGACAUUCGGGCCGAACAAUAAUAUCACCAUCAGACAGUAAGAAAAGGAUAAGCAAAUGUGAAGUAUGAGCUUGUAUAUAUUCGCACACUUAUUUUAUACUCAUUAAUGAAUAUUUAUGAACAUUCAUUUCAUACAUUCUAAUUCUUUUAUUACAGUAAUUUAAUAGGAAUCAGUGAGCUCAAACACAGAAGUUUUAAGAUGGGAUGUCUAAAAAUAAAGACAUCUACGAAAAAAUAGAUCUUUCGUAGAUGAAGCAACCGAAGAAAUGAUAAAAAAGAUUGUAUGUAUAACUAUUUUUUUGAUAUAAUAUAUAAUUGGCAUUGUGAUUGUAUGCACGAGUGUAUACUACCUUGUGUAGAUUUGUUCUAACAGCCCAACUUAUUAUUGUCUUUCAGGAUAAUUAUGCUAUCAAAGUAAAAUUUGAUAAACUGAUAAUUCAAUAUGGCAAAGAUCUUUUAUUUUUAGCAUUAGGCCUAAAGAAAGGCAUGGUCGAGUUUGUGGGGUUAGUAAAUUUGUCUUGUCAUCAACGUAUUUUGGUAAACAAUAAAAAACCUCACGAUUGAGAAAUACAUAAUAUGAAACAAUAAUUGAGCAACAACAGUAACAAAUUAAUGAUCAAGAGUAACGCCUCAAUGACCAACAGUAAAUACUCGUUACUUUGGAGUCCAUGUUGGUAGCAACACAACAAGUUAUGCCAGUACCCUAGCUUGAUAGCAUCAUCUCCGUACGAGAAUCUUUCAUUGUAAGUAAAGAAGCCAUCCCAUCAUCUGUUAUCACUCAAGAAGUAUGAUAUUGUUCAUAAUUUUAACAUUAAUUUGUUUAUUAUAUUAAUUGAUUUAUUUUUAAUACUUAUAUUUCAUUAAAUAUUGUAGGAGAAUAUUCAAACUGAAAGUCUGAACCUUGUCCAGGCUUUCAUGGAUGAGUUAACAAAAUAUUCGUUGGAGCAUUAUACCGAUGAAAACUUCAUAUCCAUUGAGUCUGAGAAAGAUUUAUUUGAUAAACAAUCAUUUUUUUCAUUAAUAUGGAUGAGGUGAAAGAAUUUUGUGAAAUGGAUGAAUUAUCAACUGCUGAAAUCAUUGCUUAUAUGAGGUUAGCUUAUAAAUACAAAUAUGCACAUUCGAUAUAUAAUAAGUUAGUAUUAUGGUGUAAUACUAACAAGCAGUGUUGAUUGUUAUCGUAUAGCUUCCUAUAUAGAGAGCUGAAGGAGAGACAGUUGAUGAAUAGAUUUAGAUUCAUUGACCCCAACUUCAUUAGUAAGCAGAGUGGCACAAUCGUGUUUUGUGCUAAUCAUGUGAUCCUAUGCAUAAAAAAAUCGACUGAUUAUUAUUUGCUCUCGUAUAAUGCGUAGUAAGCUAUAUUCUAACCUUAAUUACUCCAACAUACUCCAUUCUAUGAUCUGAUGCAUAUUUUGAGUAUAUCAUUGUUAUUAUUUUACAAUCGUCAUUAAGUACUUAUUGUGAUUGACACCAAAUCCUUAAUGCCAUACUUUUUUAAUUUAGUUAAUCUAACAACGAUGCCUAACCCCGAUAUUCAAACUUUUAUAAAGAUGUAUUACUGUACUUUAUUAUAUUAUGUAUGUUCUGUUUCUUCAUAAGAAAUUUUAUUUAUGUUCUCACUAGUUUUUUUUUUCAAUUUAGGAUAAUAUCUGUAUUCAAUAAGAAGAUAAAGAAACCGAAAUGGGUGUCAUUACCGGUAAAUGUCAAAUUUAUUCCUUUAAUGCUGAGUUUGUUUAGAUAAAUAUUUUUUAAAUUGACUCAAUUUAAUUUUCAGGUACCUCGUCAACCCAGUAAUAUUGAAUGUGGAUAUUAUAUCCUUCGUUUUAUAUGGGAGAUAGUGUUACAUGAUUUUAUGAUCACACCAUUCAAGGUUAGUAUAAAUUUCAUAAACUCGUUAUAUAUUCAAAAAAAUAAAAUGGUACGUUAUGUUCUCAUUUCUUAACAUUUACUUUUAAUUUUUUUUUUAGUGGGAGGGUAAAGAAGGCUUCACGAAAGAGGAGCUUGAUAAAGUUUGUAAAGAAUGGUGUGAUUAUGUAUUAUCAUUUAUCAAUAUUGAUAAACUUUCAGGUUAGCCAUUGUUGGUUGAAUGUAAAUAUAUAUGGAACAAAUUGUUAUAAUAUUUUUAACAUGCCAUAUUGAAUGGAAACUUUAAGUUUGUACAUUGGGGGUAUUGGUUUAAUAUUAUUGUUAUACUUAAUAUGAAUAUACUAUGUGUACUUAAUAAAUUAUUGAGUACAAUUAUUUCAGAAAAAUAUAUUAAUAUGGCAACGUUAUCAGUUUUAAUUUCGGAUGUGUAGUCCAUUUUUUGAAAUACAACAAUGUUCAUUAUGCAAAUUCCAAAAUGUAAUUCAUAUUAUUAUAUAUAUAAACUAAAUAUUUUUUGGGCAUAAAUAUACAACUGACAGCAAAUAUUUUUUUGGGUAUAAACCUACAACUGACUUCACAUAUAAAGUAUCAAUUAUGUUUUUUUGAUGCGAUUAAUGAAGGUGUUUUUAGCAAAAAAACAUCUUCAAUCAUCCCUAACAGAAAAUAUUAAAGGUAUUUUUUACCAAAAUCGCUUUCAAUAAUCUCCCAAAAAAUUAUUGUUUGGAACAUUAAAGGCAUUUUGGGCAAAAAACACCUUAAAUAAUACCAACUAAAAAUUAAUCAAAUGGAUUAUGAAGGACGUUUUUUUACGGGUAACGCCUUCAAUAAUCCGUAACAAAAUGCUUAUGAAAAUGUUUUUGGAUAUAACUCCCUUCAAUAAUCCGACCAUUAAAAUUUAUUUUUAGAAAUAUUAAAGGCGUUUCGAGUGAAAAACACCUUCAAUCAUCCUAUCCAAGUUUUAUCUAUGAAAUAUUGAAGGCGUUUAUUACAAAACCGCUUUUAAAAAUAAAAAAAAAUUUACUGAUUGGAUUAUAAAAGAUGAGUUCAGCCAAAAACACCUUCAAGAAUCGACUCCAUAUUUUUUCUAUUGAUUAUUAAGGGCGUCUUUCCACAAAAAAUGCCUUCAAUAUUCUAUGAAAAAUUUUUUAAAGCAAUUAGUCAAGGCAAUUUUGCCAAGAAAAUGCCUAAAAUAAUCAAUAACAAAUAAUCUGUGCCUAAACCCAAAAAAAGGCUAAAAGAUGGAUUGAACCAACAACCUUAUGGUAAACAUCCGUAUGAUCUACACAAUUUGAUAAGCUUAAUAUUGAAUGUGCUUAUAAAGAAAAUAAAUUUAAUAAGCCUGGGAAAAUUUUUGAUCCAAAUAUUAAAGGCAUUUCUUGUAGACAAUGCCUUCAUUAAUCUCAUAUAAUUUUUUAUGACGUGAUUAUUGGAGUGUUGUCGUAAAAAAUAAUUGGCUUAACUAUUCCUAAAUUUUCAAUAAAAAAUAUUCAACGACGUUUUGUUCGAGAAACGCCUCUAUAUCAAGUCUUUUGUAGCGUUUAUAAGUAACAACGCUGCUAUUUAAAUAUUUAGUGACGGUUGGAUAAUAAACACCUGAAGUUUUAUAAAAAUAUAAAAAUUAACGACGUUUGUAAGUGAAAGAUCGCUACAAAACUGACGUUAAUACGUCAUUUUGCUGUAGUGUAUAUUUAAUAUAUACCUUUUUCCUACAUGUUUUUUCUUUUUGCUUUUCAUAGUUAUGAGUCUAUCCAAGGAUUCAACAUCUAGUCCUCCAUCUAUAUGCAGAUCUUGACAUAUAUUUGGAGGGGAUCAAUUAAUAAUACUCUCAAUAUUUUAAAUUAUUUGAAUAGUAUUGACUUUCAUGAAGUUUAAAAAGAAAAUUUUGAUUUUAAUAUAUUUAAUAUUAAAAUUAAAUUUUUUUAUAAAAUUAAAAUUACUUGACUUUUAAUAACAAAAAAAUUAAAAAAUCAUAAAAAUAAUUUUAAAAUAUAAAAAAAUAAAAGUUUUAGAUGAUAAAAAAUAAUUUUCGGACAUCUCAAAAAAGAAAAAUGAAAAAAAUGCGAGAGAGAGAGUAUAUAUUAUAUUUUAUCUUAUUUUUUUGAGGUGGUUUUUUAUCAUACUAUUAAUAUAUAUAUAUAUAUAUAUAUAUAUAGACACACACACACAAACAAUAUACUAAUAAAAAUAUGAUAAGCUCAUAAAAUUAUAAAACAAAAAUAUUAUUAUGACAACAUUAUUCUUUUAACAAUAAUAUGAUUUAUAAUUAAUCGUAGAAUUACUAAUUACACAAUCUAUCAAUAAAUUAUGAGAUUUUUUAUUUUUUGACAAUUUAAAAUUAAAAUAAAAAAAUAAAAAAGAAGUAUGAAUAAAUACUCAUUUAACAUUUUAUCAAAACAAAAAAAUAAAUAUAUUUUUUAAAAAAUGGAAAUGAAAAUUUGAGACUAAAAGUUAUAAUAUUUUUCUAUCCUUUUGUAAACUAGUUUCAAUAUGAAUUUUUUUUUUUUGUUGGAAAAAGAAUUUUAACACUUGAUAGACAUUUAAAGUAAAAAUAAAAGUAGAAAAUGAUAUGGAGAGAAGUUGUAGUAAGCUAAAUCUCUCUUUCUCUAAAUCUUCUAAACUUUGACCUCUCUUUGUACCAAAAAAAUGUAUAUUUGAUGCUUAAAUACUUGAAUCUUGUUGAGAAAGUUAGAAAGUUAAUUUGAUUUUUAUUAAGUUCAUUUGAUUGUAAUUUUAAAUUUAUGACAAAUCUUUUAAAUUUAAGAAUUUGUAAAUAAUAACUAUUGGAUAUAAUAAACGAACAAAUAUCAAUACGAUUUGAAUAUUUCUUAAAUUGUAAUAUAUAAAAUUAAGUUAUAAAACAUAAAAAAAAUUAAUAUUUUUAAUAUAGAAGGUUAAUUUAAAUAUAUUUUAUAUGAAUAUAUAUACAAGGGUGUUUAAAAAUUUUGGAAAGGGCCAAAGUCCCCUUCAGGUUCUCAUUACCAACCGCUUAUGCCUCCAUCACAUAUAUAAGUGUCUUGUUUGUCUAUCUUUAGUUGUUUCAAACAAAUAUGUCUUGUUUGAAAAGUUAAAUAAAAAUCAUUUUUACAUUUAUCUUAUUACUCUUAAUUAUACCCACAAACACUUCUUUUUACAAAAUAAAGAUAAUUCAAAAAAAUUAUAAAUCAAUGAAAAUCAAAAUUCAACUCAAAAUUUUUUAAAUAUUAUGCAAAAUCAAAAUGAAACAAAAUACACAAAACGGAAAAAAUUAUAUAUUAAAGAGCAAUUAAAUAUUGAUGUAUUUUCCUAUCAAGCAUAUGCAUACAUAGAGGUUUUUGGCCUAUUUUUCACCAAAUGAAAGAAACAACCCAAUUACAUACAAAUGUGCAAUUUGAUUUCCCAAUCUCAUGGCUGAAAAAGGGGGAUCCCAUAGUAAAGAUCUUAGGGUAUUUUUGUUUGUUUACUUACUAUAGCAGCAUGAAAUAGGUUAUUAAAACAAAUGUGUCUUUCACUCUUUCAGAAACACAAUCCCCAUAGUUGAAUUGGAACUAGAUUAACGACGAUUGCGUGAAGACAGAUUUUGACCAUAAAUGGUUGUUACACAAACUGGUUUGAUAUUAUGAUUGUGUAACCAUUUGGAAUAAGAAAAACAACUUCUCUAAUUCCUCCCUUUUUUCCAAUGGAUAAUAGUUUAUAAAAGGGUGACGGCUAAAUUUAGUCGGCAAAGAUGCCAUUAUUAGUUAAUUAUUUAUUAUUAUUACUAGUUUGAUGUGUAAUUUGAUUACGUUUUUUCGAAAAGUCGUGUCCCAAGAUAACUACUGCUUAUUUUAGUAACAGUUUUUUUCAUUAAUCAAGGAGUUAAAUCCUUUAUUUUUAUUUUUUAUUUUAUUUUUUUUAAUUUCUAAUUUAUCCUUAAAGUCUAUAUCCUAUUAUUUAUUUGGUUAAAAAUGACAAUACGUACAUAAUUUUUUAAAAAUUUAUAAACGUUAACUCUAAUGAUAUGUUUACUAAGAUAAGAAUUAAUCAAUUAUUUUUUUGUAUUUUUUAAUACAAUAUAAAAAAAAAAAAUAAAAAUAAAUUGAUACAUAAAAAUGAAUAAUAAAAAGAAAAAAAUCAAUUGUUACAGUAUUAGAACCGAUUAUAAAAUUAAACUUUUUGAAUUUUAAUUUUAAUUAUAAUUCAAAUGGUUAAAAAAAUCAAAUGAAAACGAAAUUAACUUGAAUUCCUUUGAUGAUUUAAUAAUUCUUUUGCAGAAAGCAUACAAUAAAGAGUAGGACUUGUAGGUUAAUCAAUGAAGGUAAUGCUCGAAAAAGAAAUGGAAUAAAGGAACAAGGCAGGAGAGGAAUUGCAACUUUUUUCAGUUAUUAGUCAUUACUUAUUUUUUUGGUAAAAGCAAGUUAAAAAAAAAUGGUGAAAGAGUGUCGUAGAAGAAGACUAAUGGGAGAGACCAAGACAGAAAACAACUGGAAAUAAUCCAAAUUACAGAUGACAUUAAUCUUAACAAUUGCAAAAGAUGAAGGAUUAUAUGUUGGGAUAAUUAAACAAAUGAAGCAUCCAAAACGAUCCUGUUUCAUGUCGAGUUGUUGGUGGGGAAUCGAGAAUGAAAUGAAACAGUGUGUUAUUCACUGAAUAAAUAGGAUUUGAUUUGAAAUUUUUUCAUUUUUUUCACAUUUCUAAUGUUCACAUAACGGAAUGACAGCAAUAAUUUGAAUAAAAAUUGUAUUGAUGUUACAUACAUAAAUAUUCAUGUGUAGCUUUUAAAUUAGGUAUUUAAAUUUUUUUUUUUAAGGUUGCAUAUGAUAAAUUGGGUCUAAAAGAAGAGAUUUGAAUUCUAAAAUUAGUAUAAGUUGUGUGAGAAAAAUAUGUAAAUAUGAUCAACAUAAUUUUUUUGGAAGUAACGAGUUUGUUUGUGUUUUAUUUAGUGUGAAUUUCGUUCUUGCAUUCUAUCUGUUUUUGAGUCCUGGACAAAUAAAAUCCUUUUAUUGGGCUGAACAAAAGAAAUCAAUUUAUUCCCAAAAAACGUAUACCUGUUACUGGGCAGGGAGACUAGGUCUUGGGCCUGGCUUGAUUUCGGCUGGGUUUUAGGGAAGAUGCUUAUAAUUAAUUAAUUACAUUAGAUACAAAAUAUAUUUAAAUCUGCUAAUCUUGUGUAAGUACAUUACUCGUUAAAUUAUAGAUACCACGAGUUGUGUAUUUGUAUUGUGUAAAUAUUAAAAUUUAUGUAUUUAUAUUUUUUAUAUCAAAAUUAUAUAUUAUAAUUCGUGUCGAUACUAAAAUAUAAAAUAUAUUUUUUAUUUUAUUAUAUUUAAAUAUAAUUAUUACUAAAAUUUUAAAUUAUGUUAUCAUUAUUAUUUUUGUAUUUAUAUUCAUGUCGUAUUAUUAUAUCAUAUUCUAGAUUAUUAGAUCUAAUAAAUUGUAUCAUUUUUAUUUUGGGAGAGGGGCAUUAAAGUGUAUGAAUUGUUAGCGUUGUAGAUAAAAAAAAAAAAAUCAUUAAUCUCAACCGGUUAAUAACAAAUUCAAUGAAAAUCUGUGAACUACUCUAUUAACUAGGGGAAGACUUAAGCUCCAGCGACAGCCAGGGUAAAAAUACCUGAAUAAAGAAUCAAUCAAUCUUUGCUUAUCAUGGAAAAACUCAGAAUAAACUAUUAACAUCGACACCCUUCCUAAUAUGAAAGCAUUAGAUUCCUCUUAUUAUAAUCUAAAUGGCAAGCUGCUAUCACAUCACUUCUACAGUUGAAAUGUGCUUAUAAAGAAGGGCGUGUGCCCAACACACUCCAUAUCCAAUAACUAUUUUCUUGCAUUCCUCUUAUAAUUUCCUCCUACAGCAUGCCAGCCCUAGAACUUGAUCAACAGAUCAGAUCUGAAAGCUUCAAAAACAAUAAUAAUAUUGAAGCUACAGAAACAUAUGAAGAAUAUAAAGUUGAGGUUUUUGAUUAUACCAAGAGGGCACAGUGGCUUCGAGCUGCUAUUUUAGGAGCCAAUGAUGGGUUGCUCUCUACGUCUUCUUUGAUGAUGGGAGUUGGUGCUGUACGUAAAGACUCCAAGACCAUGGUCCUUGCAGGGAUCGCUGGUUUGGUUGCUGGUGCUUGUAGCAUGGCGAUUGGUGAGUUGGUCUCAGUUUACUCACAAUAUGACAUUGAAUUGACUCAAAUGAAGAGAGAAACAAUGGCAAAAGAUUUUGCCGAUCAUUACUUCGAGACUAUGAAAAAAAGUUUGCCUAAUCCCUGGCAAGCAGCUGGUGCAUCUGCGCUUGCUUUUGCUGUUGGGGCUGUCAUACAGUUGCUUGCUGCUGCGUUCAUAAAGUUCUAUGUGGUGAGGUUAGUUGUGGUGCUGGCUGUUGCGAGCUUGGCCCUGUUAGGGUUUGGUGCGUUGGGAGCCCUGUUGGGGGGUGCACCCAUGUUGAAAGCAUCGUUAAGGGUGCUGGUAGGAGGAUGGCUAGCCAUGGGAAUAACUUUUGGCCUCACCAAGUUGAUUGGCCGCACAGGACUCUAAUCCAUCUUCCAUAUUUAAUAGCUUUUCCUUACAUGUUUUUUCCUUUUGCUUUUCAUAGUUAUGAAUCAAUCAAAGGGUUCAACAUAUGCUUCUCCAUCCCAUAGCUUUUCCCUACAUGUUUUUCCCUUUUGCUUUUUCAUAGUCCAAGGGUUCAACAUGUACUCCUCCAUCCCAUAUAUAAGUGUCCUGUUUGUCUAUCUUUAGCUGUUUCAAACAAAAUGUCUUGUUUGAAAACUGGAAUAAAAAUUAUUUUUCCUUUCAUCUUAUUACCCUUAAUUAUACGUACAAACAUUUUUUUUUUCAAAAUAAAGGUAAUUCAAAAAAAAAUUUAUAAUCAAUGAAAAUCAAAAUUCAACUCAAAAUUUUCUAAAUAUUACGUAAAAUCAAAAUGAAACAUAAUACAUUAAAAAGCAAUUGAAUAUGUUGUAUUUUCCUAUCAAAUAUCAUACCAAAAUUAACAAGGAGAAAUAACAAGCAACAAAUUCUUGAAUGAUUGAAAACCAAACAUAUGCAUUGAGGUUUUUGGCCUACUUUUCACCAAAUAAAAGAAACGACCCAAUUACAUACAAAUAUGCAAUUUACUUUCCCAAUCUCAUGGAUGAAAAUGGGGGGUCCCAUAGUAAAGAUCCUAGGGUAUUUUUGUUUGUUUACUUACUAGAAGCAUGAAAUAGCUUAAAUAAAUGUGUUUUUUUACUCGUUCAGAAGCCCAAUCUCCAUAGUUGAAUUGGAACUAGAUUGACGAUGAUUGCAUGAAGACAGAUUUUGACCACAAAUGGUUGUUCCACAAACUGGUUUGAUAUUUUGAUUGUAUCUAACCAUUUGAAGAAGAAACUUCUCUAAUGCCUUCCCUUUUUACAAUUGAUAAUAGUUUAUUCAAGGAUGGAGGCUAAAUUUAGACGGCAAAGAUGCCAUUAUUAGUUAAUUAUUAAUUAUUAUUACUAGUUUGAUGUGUAAUUCGAUUACGUUUUUUUUUUUUUUCAAAAAGUCGUUGUCCCAAGAUAACCACUACUUAUUUUAGUAGCAAAAUUUUUUUUUGACCUUUAUUCAAGGAGUUAAAUCCUUUAGGUUAGUUUGGUUUGUGUUUUUAUUUUUUUAAUAACAUGAAAAACAAAAAAUACAAAAUAAAUUGAAACUUUGAAAGCAAAAGUUAAUUGUUGCAGUAUCUAUUCUAAAAUUGAAGAUAUUGAAUUCGAAUUUUGUUUAUAAUUUAAAAUACCAAAAAUAAAAACAACCAAAUGAAGUUGAAAUUAAAUUGAAUUUCUUUUGAUGAUUUACUGAUUUCAUUUGCAGAAAGCGUGUUGUAAAAAGUAGGGCUUAUAGAAUAAUCGAUGAAGGUAAUGCUUGAAAAAGAAAUGGAAUAAAGGAACAAAGCAUAGGAGGAAUCGCAACUUUUUUCAGUUAUUAGUCAUUUACUUAUUCUUUUGGUAAAAGCAAGUUAAAAAAAAAAAUGAUGAAAGAGUGUUGUAGGAGGCAAGACUUUGAUGGUUGAUACCAAAAUAGAGAACAACUUCACGUAAUCCAAUUACAAAUGACAUUAAUCUUAACAAUUGCAAAAGAUGAAAGAUUAUGUUGGAGUAAUUAAACAAAUGAAGCAUCCAAAACGAUCCAGUUUCGUGUCAAGUUGUUGGUGGGGUAUGGAGAAUGAAAUGAAACAGUCUAUUAACUCAUAUAUUCAGUUAUUCACAGAAUAAAUAGGCUUUGAUUUGAAAUUUUUCAUUGUUUUCACAUUUCUAAUGUUCACUUCUUUUUUUUUCAUAAAAAAAAAAAUCACAUCUUUUUAAGUCCCAAAUAAGAAUAAAAAAACCAUUUAAAAACAUAAAUAAUACAUAUAUUUUUGUUUAUUUAUUUAUAAUUGGACAUGGUGUCAUUUUGUGAAAAUUCUGUUUCUCGUCCUAAAUAUUUGGUAUUCUUGUUUAGAGCACUCCUCUGCUACGAUUUGAAUUUGAAUUUGAAUUGUGUGGCAACCUGUAAGUUACUGCUUACCUGCAGGCAUGUGUUAAGAGAAUCCAAGGUGAUGAAAGUGGGCACAAGCAUUGCACUGGUCAAUAUUUUGAUUAUUGGUCUUGUAUUGAUAAAUGCGUAAGUAGUUUUAUUUGCUUAGCCUCAUUUUGGUUAUAUUUUGUAACUUGUCCUGAUACCCCAACUUGGCGGAAUGCAGGUUGCACCAUCGCUAUUCUCGAAACUGAAAUAACCAGGGCCAAUGUUGUGUAAGUUAACAAUAGCAUCACGUCCUGCUGUUUUGAGUUAGAAAGCCAGUGAUUGUUUCAGAAACUAUCGAUCUUGUAUUGUGAACUUGAGAUGCCUCGUGGCUAAUCAGAGAACUGUUAAAAUUUUGUGUUACUGUGGAAACGUUUAAUGAUUAUCAAUAUAUUUGGAUCCUUGGAGAAAUGCCUGCCUAUGGGCUGGUCAGAAGUGCGAUAACGGAAUGACAGCAAUAAUUUGAAUAUAAAUUGUGUUGAUGUUACAUACAUAAACAUUCAAGUGUAGCUUUCAAAAUUAGGUAGUUAAAUGGUUUUUUUUAAAGGUUGCAUAUGAUAAUUUGGAUCUAAAGAAGAGAUUUGAAUUUUAAAAUUAGUAUAAAUUGUGUGAGAAAAACAUGUCAAUAUGAUCAACAUAAUUAAUCUUAGAGUAAAGAGUUUGUUUGAUUUUUGUUUAGUGUGAAUUUCGUUCUCACAAUAUAUCUGUAUUUAAGUCCCGCACAAAUAAAAUCCUUUUAUUGGGAUGGGCAAAGAAUCAAUUUAUUCCCAAUAAACGUACAUCUGUUCAUAGGCACGGAGACUCGGCUCAAGGGCCUGGCUUGAUUUGGGCUGGGUUCUAGGGAAAAGGUUUAUAAUUAAUUUUCAUUUUUUUUUUAAGUUCCUAAUCUAUCGAUUUGUGUUUUUUUUUUUAAGUAUCUAAUUUUCUCGUAAACUUUUUACCCUAUAACAUUUUUGGGUAAAGAGGAUAUUAUAGGUUUAAACUUUUUUAACUCAUAAUUUUCAAGUGCUAACUAUAAUAACAUGCUAAUUAAUCAAAUGAUAGUCGAUGAAUAAUUUAUAUAUUUAUAUAAUAUUUUAUACGAAAAUUAUAUAUUAUAAUUAAUAUUAAAAUAAAAAUAUAAAUUUUUUUUAUUUUGUUAAGUUAAUAUAUAAUUAUUACUAAAAUUUUAAAUCAUGUUACUUUUUUUUUGCAUCGUGUUUAUGUCAUAUAAUUAUAUCAAAUUUUAAAUGAUGAGAUUUAUUAAAUUAUAUAUAUAUUUUUUUUUGGGAGAGGGGCACUAAAGUAUAUGAAUUGUUAACAUUGCAGAUAAAAAAAUCGUUAAUCUCAACCAGUUAAUAACAAAUUCAGUGAAAAUCUGAGUACUGCUCCAUUAACCAGCAACAACUAGGGGAAAAAUAACUGAAUAAAGAAUAAAUCAAUCUGUUGCUUGUCAUGGAAAAACUCAAAUCAAACUUUUAUAUAGUAUCCAUCCCCUUCCUAGUGUGAAAGCAUUAGACUCCUCUUAUUAUUGUCUAAAUUCUACAGUUGAAAUGUGCUUAUAAAGAAGGGCGUGUGCCGUCCACACUCCAUAUCCAGUAACCUUACAUUCCCCUUACAUUGUCCUCCUAUACCAUGCCAGCCCUAGAACUUGAUCCGGAGAUCAGGUCUGAAAACUUAAAAAACAAUAGUAAUAUUGAAGCUGCAGCAACAAAUGAAGAACAUAAAGCCUAGGUUUUUGAUUAUGCCAAGAGGGGCAAAGUGGCUUCGAGCUGCUGUUUUAGGAGCCAAUGAUGGGUUGCUCUCUACGGCUUCUUUGAUGAUGGGAGUUGGUGCUGUACGUAAAGACUCCAAGACCAUGGUCCUUACGGGGAUCGCUGGUUUGGUUGCUGGUGCUUGUAGCAUGGCGAUUGGUGAGUUGGUCUCAGUUUACUCACAAUGUGACAUUGAAUUGAUUCAAAUGAAGAGAGAAAUCAUGGCAAAAGAUUUUGCCGAUCAUGACUUCGACACUAAGAGACAAAGUUUGCCUAACCCCUGGCAAGCAGCUGGUGCAUCUGCGCUUGCUUGUGCUUUUGGGGCUGUCAUACCGUUAGUUGCUGCUGUGUUCAUAAAUGUUUAAGUGGUGAGGUUAGUGGUGGUGCUUGGCCCUGUUAGGGUUUGGUGCGUUGGGAGCCCUUUUGGGGGGUGCACCCAUGUUGAAGGCGUCGUUAAGGGUGCUGGUCGGAGGAUGGUUAGCCAUGGGAAUAACUUUUGGGUUCACCAAGUUGAUUGGUCGUUCAGGACUCUAAUCCAUCUUCUAUAUUUAAUAUAUACCUUUUUCCCACAUGUUUUUUCUUUUUGCUUGUCAUAGUUAUGAGUCUAUCCAAGGAUUCAACAUCUACUCCUCCAUCUAUAUGCGGAUCUUGACAUAUAAUUUGAGGGAUCAAUUAAUAAUACUCCAAAUAUUUUAAAUUAUUUGAAUAGUAUUGACUUUCAUGAAGUUUAAGAAAAAAAUUUCGAUUUUAAUGUAUUUAAUAUUAAAAUUAAAAUUUUUUUAUAAAAUUAAAAUUCCAUAACUUUUAAUAACAAAAAAUUAAAAAAAUCAUAAAAAAUAAAAGUUUUAGAUGAUAAAAAAAAUAAUUUUGGGGCAUCUCAAAAAAGAAAAAUGAAAAAAAUGUGAGAGAGAGAGUGUAUAAUAUAUUUUAUCUCAUAUUUUGAGGCGUUUUUUUAUCAUACUAUUAAUAUAUAUAUAUAUAUAUACACACACACACACAUACACAAACAAUAUACUAAUAAAAACAUGAUAAGCUCAUAAAAAUUAUAAAAUAAAAAUAUUAUUAUGACAACAUUAUUCUUUUAAUAAUAAUAUAAUUUAUAAUUAAUCGUAGAAUUACUAAUUACACAAUUUGUCUAUAAAUUAUGAGAUUUUUUUUACAAUUUAAAAUUAAAAUAAAAAAAGCAUGAAUACAUAAUCAUUUAACAUUUUAUCAAAACAAAAAAAUAAAUAUAUUUUUAAAAAUAUGGAGAUGAAAUUUUGAGACUCAAAGUUAUAAUGUUUUUCUAUCCUUUUGUAAACUAGUUUCAAUAUGAUUUUUAUUUGUUGGAAAAAGAAUUUUAACACUUGAUAGACAUUUAAAGCAAAAAUAAAAGUAGAAAAUGAUACGGAGAGGAGUUGUAGUAAGCUAAAUCUCACUUUCUUUAAAUCUCCUAAACUUUGACCUCUCUUGUACCAAAAAAAUAUAUAUAUUUGGUGCUUAGUUGAAUACUUUAAUUUUUCAAGAAUGUUGAAAUGUUAAUUUAAUUUUUGUUAUGUUCAUUUUAUUGUGAUUUAAAUUUUAUGACAAAUCUCUUAAUUUUAAAAAUUUGCAAAUAAUAACCGUUGGAUAGAAUAAAUGAACAAAUAUCAAUACAAUUUAAACAUCUCUUAAAUUGCAAUAUGUAAAAUUGAAUUAUAAAACACAAAAAAAAGAAAAUUAAUAUUUUUAAUUUAUAAGGUCAAUUUAAAUAUAUUUUAUAAGAAUAUAUAUACAUGCUAAAGGGUGUUUCAAAAUUUUGGAAAGGGCCAAGUUCCCCUCAGGUUCUCAUUACCAACCACCCAUUCCUCCAUCCCAUAUAUACGUGUCUUGUUUGUCUAUCUUUAGUUGUUUCAAACAAUAUGUUUUGUUUGAAAAGUUAAAUAAAAAUCAUUUUUACACUUAUCUUAUUGCUCUUAAUUAUACCUACAAACACUCUUUUUUUUUUUCAAAAUAAAGAUAAUUAAAAAAAAUUAUAAAUCAAUGAAAAUCAAAAUUCAACUCAAAAUUUUUAAAAUAUUAUGCAAAAUCAAAAUGAAACAAAAUACACGAGACGGAAAAAACUAUAUAUGAAAAAGCAAUUAAGUAUUGAUGUAUUUUCCUUCGUAUAUAGAAGUUUUUGCCCUAUUUUUCACCAAAUGAAAGAAACAACCCAAUUACAUACAAAUAUGCAAUUUGAUUUCCCAAUCUCAUGGCUGAAAAAGGGGGAUCCCACAGUAAAGAUCCUAGGGUAUUUUUGUUUGUUUACUUACUAUAGCAGCACGAAAUAGGUUAUUAAAACAAAUGUGUUUUUCAGUCGUUCAGAAACACAAUCCCCAUAGUUGAGUUGGAACUAGAUUAACGACGAUUGCAUGAGGACAGAUUUUGACCAUAAAUGGUUGUUACACAAACUGGUUUGAUAUUAUGAUUGUCUCUAACCAUUUGGAAGAAGAAAAACAACUUCUCUAAUUCCUCCCUUUUUUUUCCAAUUGAUAAUAGUUUAUAAAAGGGUGACGGCUAAAUUUAGACGGCAAAGAUGCCAUUAUUAGUUAAUUAUUUAUUAUUAUUACUAGUUUGAUGUGUAAUUUGAUUGCGUUUUUUCGAAAAGUCGUGUCCAAGAUAACUACUACUUAUUUUAGUAACAAUUUUUUUCCAUUAAUCAACGAGUUAAAUCCUUUGGGUUAGUUUGGCUUUUGUUUUUUAAUUUCUAAUUUAUCCUUAAAGUCAAUAUCCUAUUAUUUAUUUGACUAAAAAUGAUAUUACGUACAUAAAUUUUUUUAAACUCGUAAAACUUUAAUUUUAAUGAUAUGUCAAUUGAGAUAAGAGUUAAUCAAAAAAUUUUUUGUUUUUUUAAUACAAUAUAAAAACAAAAAAAUAAAAAUAAAUUGAUACAUAAAAACGAAUAAUAAAAAGCAAAAAUCAAUUAUUACAGUAUUAGAACAUAUUGAAAAAUUAAAGUUUUUGAAUUUUAAUUUUAAUUAUAAUUUAAAAUAUUAAAAAAAUCAAAUGAAAACGAAAUUAACUUGAAUUCCUUUUGAUGAUUUAAUGAUUUCUUUUGCAGAAAGCAUACAAUAAAAAGCAGGACUCGUCGAUUAAUCAGUGAAGGUAAUGCUUGAAAAAGAAAUGGAAUAAAGGAACAAGGCAUGAGAGGAACUGCAACUUUUUUCAGUUAUUAGUCAUUACUUAUUCUUUUGGUAAAAGCAAGUUUAAAAAAAUGGUGAAAGAGUGUUGUAGGAGAAGACUAAUGGGAGAGACCAAAACAGAAAACAACUGGAAAUAAUCCAAAUUUUAGAUGACAUUAAUCUUAACAAUUGCAAAAGAUGAAGGAUUAUAUGUUGGAAUAAUUAAACAAAUGAAGCAUCCAAGACGAUCCAGUUUCAUGUCAAGUUGUUGGUGGAGAAUCGAGGAUGAACUGAAACAGCCUAUUACCCCAUAUAUUCAGUUAUUCACAGAAUAUAUAGGCUUUGAUUUGAAAAUUUUUCAUUGUUUUCACAUUUCUAAUGUUCACAUAAUGGAAUGACAGCAAUAAUUUGAAUAAAAAUUGUAUUGAAGUUACAUACAUAAAUAUUCAUGUGUAGCUUUUAAAUUAGGUAUUUAAAUUGUUUUUUUUAAAGGUUGCAUAUGAUAAAUUGGGUCUAAAAGAAGAGAUUUGAAUUCUAAAAUUAGUAUAAAUUGUGUGAGAAAAAUAUGUAAAUAUGAUCGACAAUGUUUUUUGAAUUAACGAGUUUUAUUUAGUGUGAAUUUCGUUCUCGCAAUGUAUCUGUAUUUGAGUCCUGGACAAGUAAAAUCCUUUUGUUGGGCUGAACAAAAGAAAUCAAUUUAUUCGCAAUUAACGUAUACAGGUUAAUGGGUAGGGAGACUAGGCUCAAGUGCCUGGCUUGGUUUGGGCUGGGUUUUAGUGAAGAUGUUUAUAAUUAAUUAAUUGAUUACAUUAGAUACAAAAUAUAUUUAAAUCUGUUAAUCUUGUGCCUCUUGUUAAAUUAUAGGUGUCACGAGUCGUGUAUUUGUAUUGUGUAAAUAUUAAAAUUUACGUAUUUAUAUUUUUUAUAUUAAAAUUAUGUCGAUGAAAAAAUAUAAAAUAUAUUUUUUAUUUUAUUAAAUUUAGAUAUAAUUAUUAUCAAAAUUUUAAAUUAUGUUGCCUUCAAUUUAUUUGUAUUCGUAUUUAUAUUUUAUUAUUGUAUCAUAUUUUAGAUGAUCGAAUCUAUUAAAUUGUAUGAUUUUUUUUUUUUGGGAGAUGGGCACUAAAGUGUAUGAAUUGUUAAAGUUGCAGAUAAAAAAAACCAUUAAUCUCAACCAGGUAAUACCAAAUUCAAUGAAAAUCUGUGAACUACUCCAUUAACUAGGGGAAGACUUAAAGUUCCAGCGACAACCAGGGGAAAAAUACCUGAAUAAAGAAUCAAUCAAUCUUUGCUUGUCAUGGAAAAACUCAGAAUAAACUAUUAACAUCCUCACCCUUCCUAGUGUGAAAGAAUUAGAUUCCUCUUAUUAUAUAAUCUAAAUGGCAAGUGGCUAUCACAUCACUGCUACAGUGAAAUGUGCUUAUAAAGAAGGGCGUGUGCCCACCACACUCCAUAUCCAAUAAACAUUUUCUUACAUUCCACUUACAAUUUCCUACUAUACCAUGCCAGCUCUAGAACUUGAUCAACAGAUCAGAUCUGAAAGCUUCAAAAACAAUAAUAAUAUUGCAGCUGCAGAAACAAAUGAAGAAAAUGAAGUUGAGUUUUUUGAUUAUACCAAGAGGGCACAGUGGCUUCGAGCUGCUGUUUUAGGAGCCAAUGAUGGGUUGCUUUCUACGUCUUCUUUGAUGAUGGGAGUUGGUGCCGUACGUAAAGACUCCAAGACCAUGGUCCUUACAGGGAUCGCUGGUUUGGUUGCUGGUGCUUGUAGCAUGGCGAUUGGUGAGUUGGUCUCAGUUUACUCACAAUAUGACAUUGAAUUGACUCAAAUGAAGAGAGAAACAAUGGCAAAAGAUUUUGCCGAUCAUGUCUUCGAGACUAAGAAAAAAAGUUUGCCUAAUCCCUGGCAAGCAGCUGGUGCAUCUGCGCUUGCUUUUGCUGUUGGGGCUGUCAUGCCGUUGCUUGCUGCUGCGUUCAUAAAGGUCUAUGUGGUGAGG
This 28723-nucleotide long non-coding RNA is filed under the name Durio zibethinus. Its description in RNAcentral is "long non-coding RNA (DZIB_LNC000707)". Lineage: Eukaryota; Viridiplantae; Streptophyta; Magnoliopsida; Malvales; Malvaceae. The record is from RNAcentral.